Long non-coding RNA from Poeciliopsis prolifica (blackstripe livebearer), 1058 nucleotides. RefSeq lists it as uncharacterized. Lineage: Eukaryota; Metazoa; Chordata; Actinopteri; Cyprinodontiformes; Poeciliidae. The transcript has 9 exons. The record is from RefSeq and is a predicted model, not a curated record.
UUCUUUUUUUAGCAUGAAAUGCUUCAGUUUUAUUUUAUUUGGCCUUCAUUGUAAAAACACCCCUAGCAAUCGUGGGAAACGAGGGUCAAACUGCUACCAUUCAAGGUCCACCUCAGUUUCUGCAUUCUCACGUGACUCCAGCUCCAUGCAAAGCGAGUGCAGGUGUUUACUGUAAGGAGGAGAAGAAAGGACGAGAACGUCAGCGGCCUCCUCAGAGCCUGGAUGGCAGAUGGAGAGGAGCAGGAAUACAGAAACUCGAGGCAGAAAGGCAAAGCAAGUGAAUAGGGAAGAAUCCGAUCCAUGUGGGAAGGAAGACCACCCGUAAUGAGGGCAGAAGCUCAAAGUGCAGGCAGGUGCUGCACACUGAAUCAAACAUUGUGGAAAUACUGGACUGAAAAACAACAUAAAAAAUAUUUCACUUCUACAUCAUGGUAGAUUUCCACGAGGAUCUAUUGCAGUGUAAAAUUCACUUUUCUCAGCCUCUCAGUAGACAAAUACAGAGAGAAUCUCCAGAGUUCUGUGCUGGAAGAUGAGGAAGAGAUCAAGAAGAAGUGAACAUCACCUGGUUAAUACUUUGACAACAGUACAAUGCAGCAAUAUUCUGCCUUUGUACUCGACCAUAAGCUGCAUUAAUUACUCCCACAGCAGAGUGGGUUUCAAAGAGGAAAGACGAGUGACGCUCGUCGUCUUGGAGCCAGUUUGUUUAUGAGCUGGCUCUGUGAGCGAGAAACAUGGAGUCAUUAUGUUCAGAUUGAUGGAGGAACUCACGUCUCGCCUUGUCUUUCACCAAGAUAAUCAAACAUUAUUGACAUGCUGAGGAGGACGUUACUACCAGGACAUUGAACCGGGGGAAGAACGAAAACAUGCAGGAUACUGAAGUGAUAUUGUGUAUAUUGCACAAUAUUUUGUGUAGAAAGUAGCAGAAGAAGUUGGACUCUUCAGAAAGAGGGCAAAAUCUUUAAGUGGAGAACUUCUUGUUUCGUUCCGGAGUCCUGGUGGCAUAAAGCAAGGGAUGGAUAGAAAAACCAAGCUUGCUUUGUUUUACUUCAAUGUGAGCA